Long non-coding RNA from Xiphophorus hellerii (green swordtail), 801 nucleotides. RefSeq lists it as uncharacterized. Lineage: Eukaryota; Metazoa; Chordata; Actinopteri; Cyprinodontiformes; Poeciliidae. The transcript has 2 exons. The record is from RefSeq and is a predicted model, not a curated record.
GUCAACAUGAAAAUUAACUUAUAAUGUGCAAUAAAGAUUAAAAUGUUUAGAAAAUGGCUGUUUAAGGUAAAUGACGUGAUUUUAUUGGACCAGACUCAUUAAAUAAUUGUUUCAUUUAAACUGCAUUUGACCAAAUAUUAAUGCACUCAUGAAAACACUUUCAGGUAAUCAGCCUACUUAAGAUAUUUCUAGCAUUUACUUUCUGUUUAACUACACUUUUUUUUUUAAAGAUUUUGCAUUAUUAUCUUUUGUCUGAAAGUCCAUCUCUUUUAAAGGUUAGUCUCCAGUAUUUGCAGUACUUUGAACAAAUCUAUGAUUCAGUGGAUGCUGUAUUAUCAUUUUUUUUCCUUGCAAAUACAUUCAGGAUAAUCAUCAAGUCUCACAAAUGUUUGGCUGGCAUCUUUAAUGGUUUAUGAAUUCAAAAUGCAGAUUUAAAAGGAUUUGCAGAUGACCAAGUGUUAUGACUUAGAUUAGAGGUCUUCAAGUUGGGAGUCGCGACCCCCAGUGGCGUUGUGCCAGUACUACAAGAGGGUGUUGUAAAAUUUCUGAUUGAUUUGACAUAUUCAGUUGUUUGUUUUUUAUCCAAAGUUGUCUUUAAAAACACAUGAACAUGAAUCCAAUAUGCAACAUAUUCAAGAAAGGAGCCAUUGAAUAUUGUGUUUCAGUCAGAAAUACAUUCAUUGACCAAAAAUCAGUUCAUCAUGGUAAAAGUUCUGAGUUUUAUUAAUUUGUUCAUAACAGUUUCAUUGACAGGUCAUCACUUUUGUAAUCAAACCUCAAUAAAGAAAAUAAAAACGUGAU